GACAGAGGGUGCAAGCGUUGUCCGGAUUGACUGGGUGUAAAGGGCGUGUAGGCGGCCGAGUAAGUCUGACGUGAAAACAUCACCGCUCAACGGGAUGUACGCGUUGGAAACUGUUCGGCUUGAGUACAGGAGAGGUUAACGGAAUUCCAGGUGUAGCGGUGGAAUGUGUAGAUAUCUGGAGGAACACCGGUGGCGAAAGCGGUUAACUGGCCUGUGACUGACGCUGAGGCGCGAAAGCCAGGGGAGCAAACGGG
This 254-nucleotide ribosomal RNA is filed under the name uncultured bacterium. RNAcentral describes it as "partial 16S ribosomal RNA". It matches the Rfam family "Bacterial small subunit ribosomal RNA", at positions 524 to 776 of the family's 1533-position model. RNAcentral also lists the same sequence under 1 other name. The record is from RNAcentral.